Molecule: ribosomal RNA, 279 nt
Filed under: Staphylococcus haemolyticus
Lineage: Bacteria; Bacillati; Bacillota; Bacilli; Caryophanales; Staphylococcaceae
Description: partial 16S ribosomal RNA
Rfam family: Bacterial small subunit ribosomal RNA
Source: RNAcentral
UUUAUGGAGAGUUUGAUCCUGGCUCAGGAUGAACGCUGGCGGCGUGCCUAAUACAUGCAAGUCGAGCGAACAGACAAGGAGCUUGCUCCUUUGACGUUAGCGGCGGACGGGUGAGUAACACGUGGGUAACCUACCUAUAAGACUGGGAUAACUUCGGGAAACCGGAGCUAAUACCGGAUAAUAUUUCGAACCGCAUGGUUCGAUAGUGAAAGAUGGUUUUGCUAUCACUUAUAGAUGGACCCGCGCCGUAUUAGCUAGUUGGUAAGGUAACGGCUUACC